CCUGUGAGCACUGGACCAAUUCCUUUGCCCAUUCAGAAGACCAAAUUUGGCCUUCUCUAGUGUUCCUGCAGACAAGAAGGAUGUGUCAAAAAGGUUGCAGGCUGUGCCGUCUUGUUCUGCUGCUCUGUUUCUGGUUCAUUUGGAGGGUGGACUGUGCAGCUGCGGUCUGUCACACCUGGUGUGCAAUCAGGCGCAUCUGGAAACUUAAAAGGAGGAGGCUGCAGAUCUGUCGACGGCUGAGUGUCAAACUUAGUGGUGCCUCGGUUACCUGAAUGCUGUUCCUGGACUGUCUUCUUUCAUGGUCAAGCUCAGGUUAAAACUUCCCUGGAUUCCAUGUGUCCGGAUCUGUGUAAAACUCCCAGCUUCCGAGCUUCCGAACCCAAGCUGAAAACCCUGUCCGCCCUCCAAUGAACCAAACCUCCACCGACAAGCAAAACAAGCCGCCUCCUCGACUUGACACCCUCCCGGACCAAAAACUCCAUUCUCACCAUAAGCAGCUAUUCACUCUCACAAUUCCUCUCUGCUUCUGGUCAACUACGUCACCGCUACUUCUCUCCCUAGAAGUCGGGGCUGAACCGGUCCCUGAGAGUUCCUGCCAUACCGAAUAACA
Molecule: long non-coding RNA, 610 nt
Organism: Girardinichthys multiradiatus
Lineage: Eukaryota; Metazoa; Chordata; Actinopteri; Cyprinodontiformes; Goodeidae
Exons: 3
Source: RefSeq, a predicted model, not a curated record